AGUGUUAGUAAAACAAUUACCUAGCCUUGUCAAGGCUAAAUUACAGGUGAAACCCCUGUACACCUCAUCACCUAA
RNAcentral lists this transfer RNA (75 nucleotides) under Regulus regulus. RNAcentral's name for it is "tRNA-Asp". The record is from RNAcentral. Lineage: Eukaryota; Metazoa; Chordata; Aves; Passeriformes; Regulidae.